GUCUCGCUGUUGGAGCAGCUCCUGGUACCGGAUAACGCCGUUAUUCAGCAGGCCACGAAGCGGCUCCGUGAGGCCUUGAAGGAACCGGGGGCUGUGGGGAGCCUGGCCCAGAUCGUCGGUGGGGAACAGAGGCCGCAGCUGCGGCAGCUGGCGGCCAUCUUGUUGCGCCGCCGCCUCUCGGCUUCAAGAUGGCGGCGCCUCGACCCGGAAGUGAAGCUCAGGUGGGCGGGGCUUAAACCGAGCCACGUGAUUGGCUCAUCCAUAUAAGUAUGUCCUAUAAUGGGGUGGUGGUUUGUUAGGGGCGGAAGCUUGAUAUGGGGCCUUGUGAUUGGGCUGAA
This 338-nucleotide long non-coding RNA is filed under the name Coturnix japonica (Japanese quail). RNAcentral describes it as "lncRNA (ENSCJPG00005002114.1)". The record is from RNAcentral. Lineage: Eukaryota; Metazoa; Chordata; Aves; Galliformes; Phasianidae.